GAGUUUGAUCCUGGCUCAGAACGAACGUUGGCGGCGUGCUUAACACAUGCAAGUCGAACGAGAACGGUUUCUUCGGAGACCUAGUAAAGUGGCGCACGGGUGAGUAACACGUAGAUAACCUGUCCAGGUGUUCGGGAUAGCCCUUCGAAAGGGGGGAUUAAUACCGGAUACGUUAGUCGUGUUAUAAGGCAGAUUAAGAAAGGUGGCCUCUAUUUAUAAGCUAGUCGCAGUUUGGAGGGGUCUGCGUACCAUUAGUUUGUUGGUGGGGUAAAGGCCUACCAGACUUCGAUGGUUAGCGGGUCUGGAGAGGAUGAUCCGUCACACUGGCACUGAAACACGGGCCAGACUCCUACGGGA
This 357-nucleotide ribosomal RNA is filed under the name uncultured microorganism. Its description in RNAcentral is "bacterial SSU rRNA". It matches the Rfam family "Bacterial small subunit ribosomal RNA", at positions 9 to 346 of the family's 1533-position model. The record is from RNAcentral.